AGACUAAAUUGGAGAGAUGGUGAAGGCCUGUGUUGGCAGGAGUUUUGUAAUUGGAAAUUCCCUCUGCCAAUAAAAUCUCAGGUUCAGUCUUUAUCUCUAACAAUUUUAGUUUGCAGUGUCUUGAUAACAGAGAACAAUGCCUUUAAUUCUUUCUAAAUAUAAUUUGAUUAAAGGUGGAUUAUUCCUUGGGAAUGUAAUAUUUAAUGGGAAAGGAAAUGGAGGAUUGGAAAAAUGGGGGAUAAAGGGAGGUUUAUAGUAGGAUAUGGAGGAGUCGAGGGGAGAGCCUUCCCCCACCAACUGUCAGUCUUGUUUCCUUUCCACAGGAAAGAUUGAAGGAAAAAGGAGAAGGACACAACAGGAUAAGAGAUGGGAAAAUUCAUGGAUUGUGCGAGUGAAAGUUGUAGCUGGAAUAUCCCCGGCAAAGAAGGAUCUCUUAGGAGCUAGGUAAGUAUACAGACAUUUUGGUGAUAUUUUUCAAAGAUUUUGUAUUUGUUAAUUUUUUGUAAAUUCCUAUU
Molecule: long non-coding RNA, 515 nt
Filed under: Monodelphis domestica (gray short-tailed opossum)
Lineage: Eukaryota; Metazoa; Chordata; Mammalia; Didelphimorphia; Didelphidae
Description: lncRNA (ENSMODG00000045567.1)
Source: RNAcentral